RNAcentral lists this ribosomal RNA (450 nucleotides) under uncultured bacterium. RNAcentral describes it as "partial 16S ribosomal RNA". It matches the Rfam family "Bacterial small subunit ribosomal RNA", at positions 354 to 796 of the family's 1533-position model. The record is from RNAcentral.
GUGGGGAAUCUUCCGCAAUGGACGAAAGUCUGACGGAGCAACGCCGCGUGAGUGAUGAAGGUCUUCGGAUUGUAAAGCUCUGUUAAUCGGGACGAAAGAGCCUAGUGUGAAUAAUGCUAGGAAGUGACGGUACCGGAAUAGAAAGCCACGGCUAACUACGUGCCAGCAGCCGCGGAAAUACGUAGGUGGCAAGCGUUGUCCGGAAUUAUUGGGCGUAAAGCGCGCGCAGGCGGAUCUGCCAGUCUGUCUUAAAAGUUCGGGGCUUAACCCCGUGAUGGGAUGGAAACUACAGAUCUAGAGUAUCGGAGAGGAAAGUGGAAUUCCUAGUGUAGCGGUGAAAUGCGUAGAUAUUAGGAAGAACACCAGUGGCGAAGGCGACUUUCUGGACGAAAACUGACGCUGAGGCGCGAAAGCCAGGGGAGCGAACGGGAUUAGAAACCCUUGUAGUCC